UACGUGAGUUCCAAGCGUUACCCGGAAUCAUUGGGUGUAAAGGAUGCGUAGGUGGAUUUUUAAGUCAGGUAUGAAAGACCGGAGCUCAACUCCGUGUUUGUGCUUGAAACUGGAAAUCUGGAAUCAGGGAGAGGUUAGCGGAAUUCUAAGUGUAGGGGUGCAAUCCGUAGAUACUUAGAAGAACACCAAAAGCGAAGGCAGCUAACUGGAACUGUAUUGACACUGAGGCAUGAAAGCGUGGGGAGCAAAAAGG
RNAcentral lists this ribosomal RNA (253 nucleotides) under uncultured bacterium. Its description in RNAcentral is "partial 16S ribosomal RNA". It matches the Rfam family "Bacterial small subunit ribosomal RNA", at positions 524 to 776 of the family's 1533-position model. The record is from RNAcentral.